RNAcentral lists this ribosomal RNA (399 nucleotides) under uncultured microorganism. RNAcentral's name for it is "bacterial SSU rRNA". It matches the Rfam family "Archaeal small subunit ribosomal RNA", at positions 330 to 735 of the family's 1478-position model. The record is from RNAcentral.
GUGCAGCAGGCGCGAAACUUUACAAUGUGCGAAAGCACGAUAAGGGAACUCUGAGUGCCUCCUAAGGAGGCUGUUCAGGUGUCUAAAAGCACCUGGAGUAAGGGCUGGGUAAGACCGGUGCCAGCCGCCGCGGUAACACCGGCAGCCCAGGUGGUAGCCACUUUUAUUGGGUCUAAAGCGUCCGUAGCCGGUCGAGUAAGUUCCUUGGGAAAUUUGGCUGCCCAACAGUCAAGCUUCCAGGGAAUACUGCUCGACCUGGGACUGGGGAGAGGGUCAGAGGUACUCCAGGGGUAGGGUGAAAUCCAUUAAUCCCUGGGGGACCACCGGUAGCGAAGGCGUCUGACCAGACCAGGUCCGACGGUGAGGGACGAAGGCUAGGGGCGCGAACCGGAUUAGAUA